UAGGGAAUCUUCCACAAUGGACGCAAGUCUGAUGGAGCAACGCCGCGUGAGUGAAGAAGGUUUUCGGAUCGUAAAGCUCUGUUGUUGGUGAAGAAGGAUAGAGGCAGUAACUGGUCUUUAUUUGACGGUAAUCAACCAGAAAGUCACGGCUAACUAAGUGCCAGCAGCCGCGGUAAUACGUAGGUGGCAAGCGUUGUCCGGAUUUAUUGGGCGUAAAGCGAGCGCAGGCGGAAUGAUAAGUCUGAUGUGAAAGCCCACGGCUCAACCGUGGAACUGCAUCGGAAACUGUCAUUCUUGGGUGCAGAAGAGGAGAGUGGAAUUCCAUGUGUAGCGGUGGAAUGCGUAGAUAUAUGGAAGAACACCAGUGGCGAAGGCGGCUCUCUGGUCUGCAACUGACGCUGAGGCUCGAAAGCAUGGGUAGCGAACAGG
This 429-nucleotide ribosomal RNA is filed under the name bacterium. RNAcentral describes it as "partial 16S ribosomal RNA". It matches the Rfam family "Bacterial small subunit ribosomal RNA", at positions 355 to 776 of the family's 1533-position model. The record is from RNAcentral.